GCUCAGGUUGAACGCUAGCGGCAUGCCUAACACAUGCAAGUCGAACGGGACAGCGCGGAGAGAACUUGUUUUUCUCUAGCGAGUUGAGUGGCGAACGGGUGAGUAAUGCGUAGGAAUCUACCUUUUAGAGGGGGAUAACCCGAGGAAACUCGGGCUAAUACCGCGUAGUAUCUCUUUUCAUAGAAAAGUUGAAGAAAGCGGGGGAUCCUUGAGUUUUUUUAAGGACCUCGCGCUAAAAGAUGAGCCUGCGUCGGAUUAGUUAGUUGGUGGGGUAAUAGCCCACCAAGACGAUGAUCCGUACCUGGUCUGAUAGGAUGAUCAGCCACACUGGGACUGAGACACGGCCCACACUCCUAUGGGAGGCAGCAUUGGGGAAUAUUGGACAAUGGGGGAAACCCUGAUCCAUCCUUGCCGCGUGUGUGACCAAGGCCUUC
Molecule: ribosomal RNA, 434 nt
Filed under: uncultured bacterium
Lineage: Bacteria
Description: bacterial SSU rRNA
Rfam family: Bacterial small subunit ribosomal RNA
Source: RNAcentral